UUCACCAACUCUGAACUUGUUUAGUCAAGGCUGUAUCACAGUGGAGGUUCCUUCCUCCCUUCAGAGAAAGGCAAAGAUGGCAUCAGUCUUGCCAAUAAGAAUAAGAAAUGAAGAAAGUGAUUCAAGGAAAUUCAACUCCACUUUGACUUGAGGAUAAGUCAUACUAUUAAUUGGAUGCAUGCAUGAGUAAAGACCCCAGAAAAACUGCAGCACCAUGAGACUCUCAACCAUAUCAGUGUCUUGAGAGGAUUUCCUAUAGUGUGGUUAACAAAAACUUCAAUACAUGAAAAUGUAAGCAACAUUAUCAUAAGAAAAAAGAAUCAGGGGAAUUGAAUUGAGUCUUCCCUAAGCUUUUGUGUCUCUCUGGAAGACAGCCGAAAAGUAAAGAAGGUCCAAGUCCAGCCCAGCAGACAACCUGACUCAGAUUUGUGUGAACCAGAGCAGAAAACACAAACAAGCUUCCUGGAACUUCUGAUCUACAAAAUUACUGCUAAGUGGUGGCGACUGUCUAUGCAGCCACAGCCCUAUGAGUGGACACUUCCCAGUUUGGAGAAAAACCAAGAUCAAAGAAGACUGGCAAGACAGAAAGAGACAAAACAUGCUUCACUGCCAUCAACAACAGGGUGUAACCUCUGAGACUGCUGCAGGAGGCAGAAAAAGUCUAAAGAGAAUGAGCUACUUUGGGCUGCAGAGCCUGGAGGGAGAAGAGCAAACCUGGGCACUUUAUCUUUUUUUGAAGGAUGCAAAUUCUGAUAAGGAGGCCAAGCAAGAUCCCUCUUCCUAAACACCACAUCAUUCAUUUCCAAUUCUUUGGGUGAAGAGCCUUGGGCUCCCCCUAGAGGCCAAGACAUGAAACAGGCCUUGUGCUGAGCAGAGCAUAGCUCACCAUUUCAUUUGUAGGAAGACAGAUUUCAAGAAGUAAUAAACCCAUGUCCUGCAAGAAUUUAAAGGGACCUUCAAAUAACAGAAAUCAUAAAAUCUAGCAAAUGAAGUUUAGUGCUGGCAUUGGUAUUUUCUAGCUGUGUCCAUACUCCCUGGCCACUGCAUUGUGCCCAUGGUUGAUGUUUGUGUAAUGUGCCUAGCACUACAACCAUUGUUACUGGGUUUCUAUCACAACAGAUACUUGCAGAUGGAAUCAAUGAACUAAUGGAAGUGUAUGUGGGUAAUAUCUUGAACAAUGAAUGAUUUGUGUGUUUUUAAUUUACAGUAAAGUAGAUUACCAUGCAACUUCCCACCCUUUGAACCAAUAGCACUGAUUACUUCUGUGAGAAGACAGACACCACCUACAAUAACAAAAAAUUGGUCAGUUUUUAGUUUCAAGCACACUUCUCAGAAGCCAUAAUGUGGAGGCUGGCGCCGUGGCUCACUUGGUUAAUCCUCCACCUGCAGCGCUGGCAUCCCAUAUGGGCGCCGGGUUCUUGUCCUGGUUGCUCCUCUUCCAGUCCAGCUCUCUGCUGUGGCCCAGGAAGGCAGUGGAGAAUGGCCCAAGUGUUUGGGCACCUGCACCCACAUGGGAGACCAGGAGGAAGCACCUGGCUCCUGGCUUCAGAUCGGUGCAGCACGCCAGCCAUAGCGGCCAUUUGGGGGGGUGGACCAAUGGAAGGAAGACCUUUCUCUCUGUCUCUCUCUCUCACUGUCUAACUCAAAAAAAAAAAAAAAAGCCAUAAUGUGGAAAUCCUGGAUUUCACGUGUCAGGAGACAAAUUUGGAGACCUGAGAAAAAAGCUCUACCGUGAAGCACAGAGCAAAGUAGAUCUAGGAUACAAAGAGAAUUAGUAUCUAAUAGGGAGGAUUGUGUAAGAAGUCACAUGAGUGGAUAAAUAAGUUCAGACACAGUUGUCCUGGGGGAUGAUGGGACCAUCCAGACAGGUUUUGAUUAAAUCGGAGAAUACUGGGGCUGGUUCCAGCACCCGUGGGUUCAACAUGAACUGAUCAUGGCAGAAAAGCAGAAGGAAAACUAUUGCGAAAAGAGGUCCUAGACAAGAAUUAACAGUUUAUAUCCAAAUGUGGAAAUGUCUAUGUCUUCCCAGGACCUUAAGCAUGGCAUCUGGGAAUCUCAAAGAGGAGCAUUUACAGUCAAAGGGCAGGGAUAAGGACACUAGAAACCAGUAGCAAGUAGUCAGUACCCCACAAAUGAGUACCCUGUGUGCCUAUGGUACUGACUUCUAAAGGUAAGUGUAUUCAUUUCUUAGGGUUGUCGUAUAAAUUAUCCUAAACCAAGUGAUUUGAAGUGACAGAAAUAUAGUUCUCUACUUUUCAAGUCAACAGUCCAAAAUCAAGAAUUGGACAGGGUUGAUUCCUUCUGGAGAUUCUCAGAAGAAAACUAUAGCACACCUCUCUCCUGGAUUCUGGUUGUUGUUGGCAAUUCUUGUUGUUCCUAAGCUGGUGGACACAUCCUGCCACCAUCUUUCAUCUUUAUAUUAUCUUCUCUGUGUGUCCCUCAAGUCUGUCUCUUUCCUCUUACAAAUGAUUCAGGGUCAACCCUACACCCAGGAUCACACUUUGAGAUCUUUGGCUAAGUACAUCUGCAAAGAUCCUAUUCCAAAUUUUGAGAUACCAGAAUAAAAAUUUGAGGAGACCCUAUUGAAUCCACUAUGGUGGAAUUAAAAUUCAGCAGUAAUAGCUGGGAAAAGACAAAGUCUCAAUUGCAUGCAGGAGAGCUAGUAUACUAAAAUGAAAAGAAAAAUCUAAAUGACUCUGAUAGGCUAGAAAUAUUCUUACAAUCAUGUUCUAUUUUACUCACUUUCUGGUCAUGUCUAUACUAUAGAGCUUACAUAAAUUUUUUGAUAUUGUAUCACUUGGAGUGCUUAGGUCUAAUGAUAUCAUUGUAGAGGAAUUAGAGAACAUAUAAGGAUGAAAUGUAUAUGUGAAUCAUGUGAAUAAAAUAUAUGUUACAGAUUCAAGGAGAAACUAAUCUUUCAUCAGUUGGAUCCUAAAUGCAGUCAGUGUACAAUUGACUGGAAUUGACAUCUGUGUACAGGAACGGAACUCAUCACAGAAGCCCUUAGAUCUUAUUUUUUUUUAAAUUAUUUAUUUGAAAGGCAGAGUUACAGAAAUAGAGAGGGAGAGGGAGA
Oryctolagus cuniculus (rabbit) is the source of this 3073-nucleotide non-coding RNA. The record is from RefSeq and is a predicted model, not a curated record. Lineage: Eukaryota; Metazoa; Chordata; Mammalia; Lagomorpha; Leporidae.